This 585-nucleotide long non-coding RNA is filed under the name Cyanistes caeruleus (blue tit). RNAcentral describes it as "lncRNA (ENSCCEG00000019538.1)". Lineage: Eukaryota; Metazoa; Chordata; Aves; Passeriformes; Paridae. The record is from RNAcentral.
GGGGGCGCGCUCCCGGCCGGCCGCGCGCUCCCUCAGCCUCGGCUGUGCCCCAGCUCCGGCCGGGCCUCUCCGGGCGCUGCCAGCGCGGGCGCUUGGUGUGCACGCCUGCAGUGAGUGCACGCCUGCAUGUUGCAGGAGACAGUUUGUCCUGACUGAAUUCCCAAUGACCUGAAAAGACUGACCAAGUCCAGGCAUUUGAACCAAUUUUUAACUUCAAAUGAUGAGUGCUCAGCUACCUGACAGAUUCCAGUUUGGAAAAAUCCAUCUUUCCAGGAGUGAUGGAGCAGAUGUGUCUACUUUAGCAAUGGGCAGCCUAGAAGAUGGACAUUUGACAGGCGACAAUAGACUGCUCCUUUCCCAGGUAUCUCCUGCUUGUUUCCUUUAUCUGUGAAUAGGAAAUGGCUUAAAGGCACCUGUGUUAUGAAGGUCCCAGGGGCAGCUGCCUGACUAGUGAAUGCCUGAUUAUGUGUUAACAUGCUUUGUCAGAUAUUGGCAGAAUCUGUUCUCUUCUUUUGCCUUUUCAGCAAGGGUACCAUUGACAGACUGGCUACCCAUUUAUAGAAAUGUUGUCCAUCAAACUGUGAG